RNAcentral lists this unclassified non-coding RNA (1454 nucleotides) under Hevea brasiliensis (rubber tree). The record is from RNAcentral. Lineage: Eukaryota; Viridiplantae; Streptophyta; Magnoliopsida; Malpighiales; Euphorbiaceae.
GUGAUCAAUCUGUGAAGUUAUAUGAUGUUGUCAAUUAUGACAUGAUGGUCAUGAUUCGGCUACCAUUCAUCCCUGGUACUGUUGAGUGGGUAUACAAACAAGGUGAUGUCAGAGCUAUUAGUGAUCGAAACUCCUCAUAUGUAUACAUAUAUGAUGCAAGAGCAGGUUCAAAUGAACCUAUCAUCUCAAAAGAGAUACACUUGGGGCCAAUUAAAGUUAUGAAAUACAAUCCUGUAUUUGACACUGUGAUAUCUGCUGAUUCAAAGGGAAUCAUUGAAUAUUGGAGUCCUACAACACUUCAGUUUCCAGAUAACGAGGUGAGUUUUAGGCUGAAAAGUGAUACCAAUCUAUUUGAAAUUGUGAAAUGCAANGACAAUUGUUUCCACCAUGGAGGUGAGUCCAGAUGGUAAGCAAUUUUCUAUUACGUCACCUGAUCGUAGGAUACGUGUAUUUUGGUUCAGAACAGGUAAACUGAGACGGGUUUAUGAUGAAUCUCUUGAGGUAGCUCAAGAUCUUCAGAGAAGUGAUGCCCCCUUGUACAGGUUGGAAGCUAUUGAUUUUGGGCGAAGAAUGGCUGUUGAGAAAGAAAUUGAAAAAACAGAAACUGCGCCGCAGACAAAUGCUGUUUUUGAUGAAAGUUCUAAUUUUCUGAUAUAUGCAACUCUCCUUGGGAUAAAAGUAGUAAAUUUACAUACCAAUAAAGUUGCCCGAAUUCUUGGAAAGGUGGAGAAUAAUGACAGAUUUUUGCAAAUUGCCUUGUAUCAAGGUGAUCGAAGUAGUAAGAAAGUUAGAAAAAUUCCUGCAGCUGCAGCAAAUGCCAAUGAGAGUAAAGAGCCUUUAACAGAUCCCACUCUCUUGUGUUGUGCUUUCAAGAAACAUAGGAUUUAUUUGUUCAGCCGGAGAGAACCAGAGGAACCUGAGGAUGCAACUAAGGGAAGAGACAUGUUCAAUGAAAAACCUCCUGCAGAUGAACUUUUGGCUGUAUCAGAUAUAGGAAAUGCAGUCACCACAUCUCUUCCUGACAAUGUGAUUCUACAUACCACAAUGGGUGACAUUCACAUGAGACUGUACCCAGAAGAAUGUCCAAAAACAGUGGAGAAUUUUACGACUCACUGUAGAAAUGGCUAUUAUGAUAAUCUUAUCUUUCAUCGUGUCAUCAAGGGUUUCAUGAUACAGACUGGAGAUCCUUUGGGGGAUGGCACUGGUGGGCAAUCUAUUUGGGGAAGGGAGUUUGAGGAUGAGUUUCAUAAAAGUUUACGACAUGACAGGCCUUUCACAGUGUCAAUGGCCAAUGCUGGCCCAAACACCAAUGGCUCUCAGUUCUUUAUCACCACAGUCGCCACACCAUGGCUGGACAAUAAGCACACGGUUUUUGGUAGAGUCGUAAAGGGAAUGGAUGUUGUCCAGGCAAUUGAGAAGGUGAAGACAGACAAGGCAGACAAGCCAUACCAAGA